GAUGAAGAACGCAGCGAAAUGCGAUAAGUAAUGUGAAUUGCAGAAUCCAGUGAAUCAUCGAAUCUUUGAACGCACAUUGCGCCCCCUGGUAUUCCGGGGGGCAUGCCUGUCCGAGCGUCAUUGCUGCCCUCAAGCACGGCUUGUGUGUUGGGCCUCCGUCCUCCUCCCGGGGGACGGGCCCGAAAGGCAGCGGCGGCACCGCGUCCGGUCCUCGAGCGUAUGGGGCUUCGUCACCCGCUCUUGUAGGCCCGGCCGGCGCUUGCCGACACAUCAAUCUUUUUUCCAGGUUGACCUCGGAUCAGGUAGGGAUACCCGCUGAACUUAAGCAUAUCAAUAGCGGAGGA
RNAcentral lists this unclassified non-coding RNA (344 nucleotides) under soil metagenome. Its description in RNAcentral is "partial contains 5.8S ribosomal RNA, internal transcribed spacer 2, and large subunit ribosomal RNA". The stretch from base 1 to 120 matches the Rfam family "5.8S ribosomal RNA", at positions 35 to 154 of the family's 154-position model. The record is from RNAcentral.